UACGAAGGGGGGCUAGCGUUGUUCGGAUUUACUGGGCGUAAAGCGCACGUAGGCGGAUUGUUAAGUCGGGGGUGAAAUCCUGGAGCUCAACUCCAGAACUGCCUUCGAUACUGGCAAUCUCGAGUCCGGAAGAGGUAAGUGGAACUCCUAGUGUAGAGGUGGAAUUCGUAGAUAUUAGGAAGAACACCAGUGGCGAAGGCGGCUUACUGGUCCGGUACUGACGCUGAGGUGCGAAAGCGUGGGGAGCAAACAGG
Molecule: ribosomal RNA, 254 nt
Filed under: uncultured bacterium
Lineage: Bacteria
Description: partial 16S ribosomal RNA
Rfam family: Bacterial small subunit ribosomal RNA
Source: RNAcentral